GGAGGGUUUGCCUAACGGUAUGGCAGUGGUCUUGAAAACCACCGUCCGAAAGGACUUGGGGGUUCGAGUCCCUCACCCUCCGCCA
This 85-nucleotide transfer RNA is filed under the name Ignavibacteria bacterium. RNAcentral's name for it is "tRNA-Ser". It matches the Rfam family "tRNA". From Rfam's summary of the family: Transfer RNA (tRNA) molecules are approximately 80 nucleotides in length. The record is from RNAcentral. Lineage: Bacteria; Pseudomonadati; Ignavibacteriota; Ignavibacteria. RNAcentral also lists the same sequence under 1 other name.